AACGAACGCUGGCGGCAGGCUUAACACAUGCAAGUCGAGCGCCCCGCAAGGGGAGCGGCAGACGGGUGAGUAACGCGUGGGAACGUACCCUUAUCUUCGUGAUAGCUCCGGGAAACUGGAAUUAAUACCGAAUGUGCCCUUUUGUGGAAAGAUUUAUCGGAUAAGGAUCGGCCCGCGUUGGAUUAGCUAGUUGGUGGGGUAAAGGCCUACCAAUGCGACGAUCCAUAGCUGGUCUGAGAGGAAGAUCAGCCACAUUGGGACUGAGACACGGCCCAAACUCCGACGGGAGGGAGCAGAGGGGAAUAUUGGAAAAUGGGCGAAAGACUGAAAGAGCCAUGACGGGAGAGUGAUGAAGGCCUUAGGGUAGUAAAGCUCUUUAAAAGGAGAAGAUAAUGACGGUAACCGGAGAAGAGGCCACGGCUAACUUCGUG
This 431-nucleotide ribosomal RNA is filed under the name uncultured bacterium. Its description in RNAcentral is "partial 16S ribosomal RNA". It matches the Rfam family "Bacterial small subunit ribosomal RNA", at positions 30 to 507 of the family's 1533-position model. The record is from RNAcentral.